UAUGUUCCUGGAGAUGGCAUUCCUCCAUGAACCGCCGCGCAAGCAGCUGAUGAUGCCUACAGAUCC
Molecule: non-coding RNA, 66 nt
Filed under: Bordetella sp.
Lineage: Bacteria; Pseudomonadati; Pseudomonadota; Betaproteobacteria; Burkholderiales; Alcaligenaceae
Description: Fluoride sequence
Rfam family: Fluoride riboswitch aptamer (crcB RNA motif)
Source: RNAcentral